AUGAAUUCACUCGGCGCUUCGCGCCUCGUGAAUUCUUAAAUUACGAAUCCACACUUUCUCGUGUAUUCUCCUUAACAUACAUGUACAUGUACUGUGCUGUAAAUGCAGAAUUUUAAUUGUAGAUUUUCCCAGGACCUGCCUAGGUUUGCAUGUGAGCAUGUACAUUACCUGCCUUAUGCAGACACGCCUACUCCACUGCAGCCGAUUUCACAAAACAGUGUGUAACUUACGCCACGUGUAGGAUUUAAGCAACAAAUUUGUUUGCGCAGAUGCACAAUAACCUUGUGAUCAAUUUCACAAAACUUGGCGUAGCUGCGCAACGUUUCCAAAUAGGAUGAUAACAGAAUUUAUGAUGGCUGUUUGUGCAAGAUUUGAAAAAGUCAUUGAAUCACCUCCGCCUGCCAUUUUGAAAAUAUGGCCCAUGGCGGUUUGUCCGAACUUUGGAAUUGUGUGGCAACUCCUUGAAAAACUGUUGCAAGUAAAGCAGUAAUUCAGUAGCUUCCAAACCAAAGCUGCGAGUGCAAUAACUUGCUGGAUAAUCACAAUUUGUAGGUACAGUAAAUCAUUUUCAGUUGCCUACGUCACACAACUUAAAUCACCUAAAACGAAUGCGCAAGCUACGCCAUAAUUUGUUGUUCAAGUCGCUGAUUUAAAUGCACUAGGAAACUUUUGUUAAAUUGUAAUAACUGAAAUGUUGCGCAGUGUAAUAUCCUGUGCAAGUUGGGCAUUUAAGUGUGGCGCAAGUGGACUUACGACAUUGCUUAAAAGUUUGUGAAAUCGGCUGCAGUUAUGCCAUGAGAAUCAUUGGGUUUAAUGAGUAACUAUGAGGAUGUAUACAUGUAACCAUGAAUUGUACAGUGCAUGAAUUAAUGAAAACUUCAAUUAAACUUAGCAUGGGCGACGGGACAGGCUUCCCCCUUGUCAUAUUGGAUGUCACAGUUUCUAUGAAUUGCUGACGGGCAGAUUGCUACCGCAUCAUCCACCGAGUCACUGAGCAGUACGGUUCUUCGAAGGGCACAUCCAGGUCAAAAAAUCAUAUCGGCAAAAUACUACCGAAAAUGAUUAACUUUAUUACAGUCUAAGUUGACUAUGUUUAAGUGCAGAGAAGUGUUAAACUACUUUUGGAUAAGAAAAAGGUGGACUUUUCUGGAAGACAAUUACUUGAAAAAUAUACGUAAACGCUUGUUCAUAAAAACUAAAUUGAUUUAUACAUGUACAUGGACAAAAAUAGCAUCAUGAGAAGUGAUGAGAUUUUUCGAAAAUAAAUGUUCUUGUGUUUUCCCUAAUCAGAAAAGGAAAACAAAUUGAAAAGAUGAUGGCACAAUGCAAGGAAAAAGUACUGCAAAGUUAGUCUUUUGACGUUCAAAAAAAGUGACAAGGGUUCUUUUGAUGCCAACAAAAUGUGCAAUUGUGCACAAUUUGAUGAAAUAUAAUCGUGUGAAACAAUCGCACUAAGACAACACCGUACAGUUUGUACUCUGUGUUACUUGCAAUAUGAUGUUGAAAAAGGUUUUAUAUUUACGCUAUUUAAUUAAGCAAUGUCUGCUACCAAACCCUCAAUUUCUUCAAGCAAUUUAUUCACGUUACCUCAUUUGAAGAAGUUUUCGAGAUCGAAAACUUGUACAGUUAAAGAAAAUCACACAAAUUUUAUUGAUUGCCAGUUUGCUAUUCUGUCCUGUUGCAAAUCAAGCAAUAACGACAAAUUAGAGACACAAGAAAGAACCAGCAUUUUAAAUGUCAUUGAACUGACAAUUUAGUGUUCUCAAAAACAGUUUAAGAUAACUGUACUUUAUAUACAACUUGUAGAUACUGAGAACAGCAUAAAGAUUUAUAAGAGUUACACUCUGGAGAUUUUCCCUGUAAAUAGGAUCGAUAUGAUUGACCUAAUAUCAUUCGACACUGUAAAAUAUCCAUGAAAACUUGCAAAACAAAACUGUUUAAUUAUUUUAUUUGAUUGGAUCAAAAGUCAUGAUGCAACUUUGAACAUCUGAAAAUGUCAAGGGGUAAUUAAGGAAAGGUGCGAAGAGUCUCUUAAAUUGUUAUUCUUGACAGUAGAUGGUGGGUUACCGUGGCAACGCUCGUAACCAAAAACCCAAAGUAUCAUCUGCCUUGUAGAAAACUGAACUGAUUGUCAGAGUUUAAUAGGAUCCUUAUUAUGUUGCUCUCUACUUGGGUUAUCCAUGAUUGGUCAACUUGCAAGAUCUAGAGGGCGCUGUGUACACUCAUCAAUAGUUGGUCACAAGUUGGUGUGGGUAGUUGGGUGACUGCUGCUUGUUGGCGUCUGUGGGCGGGGACAUGUGUGUGCGCACCAGGGGGGCCUGUGUGUGGCUGGGCUUUUUUUUUGGCCAGGCAAAAGGUCAAAGUUCAAAGGUCAGGUCAAAGUUCAAGGGUCAGGUCAAAGUUGAAGGGUCAGGUCAAAGGUCAAAUUUUUUUAAAAAUAAAAAUUGACAAGUGUAUAAAAUAAAGUUCAAAUGACAAUAUAAUAUGGCAAGUCUAUGGCUUCUGGUUUAUUUCAUAAAAACAGCGCCCUCAGUGUCACAAAUUUAAACAAUUUUUUGGUUUAAUUUACAAAAGAGCGCCCUCUAUCUUAUUAAACUAAAGGGAUUUUAGGUUUAUUUACUAAAGAGCGCCCUCAAUCUUAAAAAAUGUAUAACUGUUAGUUUCUUAUAUAAGAGCGCCCUCAUUGUUGUAGCCUUCAAGUUGAAAUUAGUGUUAGAACAGAUAAUGCAGCAAAGUUUAACACUUAAAACAGGCACAUGUUCCAAUAGUGGCAGAACUUCAUCCCUGCGUACCUAAAAUGCAGUACUUUUCCCACAAAUACAUGUGUAUUGGCAAUAAAUUAAACAGUUUUGAUAUAAUUUAUAACAUCGACUUUGAUGAAUUUGGAGAUUGUGUUUGUUUUGGGAACUGUGCCUGUUAAUCACAUUAAACUUUGCUGCAAAAAGUCGGCUAAUUAAGACACAUACUUCUAAAAUAAAUACACUCCACAAAAAGACAACAAACAUUUGUUUUAUUCAUUCAAAAAUAAACAAAAUACAUAUAAAGCACAUCAUAGGAAUGAUUCUCUGUAAUUUAUCAGCCAGUAUCGCCACACUUUCUAAAUAUUUGGAUCAGGAUGUACUCACUUUGUAACAAAUAAAACAAUUUGAAUUACUUGGGACUAUAUUAGUCAUAUUUAACAAUUUGCCAAUUUAAAGUUGCUCUACCCAUGCUCUUCAACAGCUAAUUUGUUUUCAGUGAAUUCAAUUUCAAUGUGUUUGUUUUAUUUAAACAGAAAAUGUACCUUUUUCAAUUUCAGACAUUUGAAACUUCUGAAAAUAUGCUUUAAUUUUGGGUGUAACUUUAUCCGUAACAGAAAGAUACCCCUGAAUGAUGUCCGUCUGUCGGGCUGCGAACAAUUGGAAAUUUGUAAAGUAAAAAAGCCAAACUAAACUUUGGGUAUGUUUUUUUCUUGUCCCAUUUAAAGUUGAAUAGCUGUACUGCUAGAAAUAUAGCAAUUUACAAACAAGUUCUAUUUUUAGACUGAAACUCUAAAACAGCAUGGGCAGAGAACUAUUUAAAAAACCUGAUAUUAUAAAUUCUGUGAUUACACAUGUAAUCACAUUCACAUAGUUCGUUUUUUUUUAAGCAGUAAUGGAAAUUACUGCAUAUUACACACAACUUCAAGGAUACUGGCUAAUUUCAGCUAUUUUCCAUCAUAUAGAAUACAACUGACUGAAUCAUUCCUAUGAUGUGCUAAGUACUGUAGUUAUUUGUCUCUAGAACCAAAUAAACCAGGCACAUGUCAACAACAUUAGCCAAAACAAAGAACUUGGUGAAACUGGAAUCUAAAAUUAAAGAACCAACAAAUCAUUUGUGACCAAUUUAUUAUCGGAUUCGAAGGCCAUUUUAUCGACUGGCUAUUUGAAUUUCCAACCUAAGAAGGUUUCACAACAAACCACAAAGACUGAAUUAUUUUGUUUCAACUCAAAAUCGUGCUAAGAAUUGACUUUGCAUUCAGCUUGAAACCAUUUUUAAUAACAUAACUUUUUCUGAACGACUAAGUUCAAAUUGUGAAUUUGUUUUAUAAAACUUUGAGUUCACAUGUGGUUUUGGCAAAAGCCUUUCAUAAGUGCUACAAAUCUUGAGCACAUUUGAGAUGAAACCUUUGUUUUUAUUUAAUAUGAAAUGUAAUUUAAUGGCUUUUCUAAAUCUGACAUGUGCCUGGUUCUAGAAUUUAAUAUUUGAGUUCACAGGGCAAAUCCAUGGCAAAGAGUUUCACCUGUUUGAGAUUGUUGAUGCCAGAUGAAGCACCUUGCAGAAUCCUGCAAUACCAAUUCUAAGAUUUCUUCCUUUCAAACUACGAAGACUUUCCAACUUAUCGGUACUUCAGAAUGCUUUAUCAACCAAUAUUUCCAGGUUUGAGAUGGCAUUAAUUCAAGCCAAUAGUGUGUUUCUGCCAUGGAUUUACCCUUUCCCUAAGACGACUCCAUCCAAUCUUCAUGAGGAGAGUCCGACAGGUUGGCAUCAGAUCCAGACAUCGAGAGUAGCGUCUGUAUAGCUUCCUGGCUUCAGCGUCUCGUGCAGAAGUUGUACAAUCUCAGCACAUGUUGGGAGGAAACAAACACUGAAAUAACAUGCAUUAGUUUGGUGAAGUGGUCCAUUAAAAAUCAGGGAUUUAGAGGAUGUCUCUCAUAAUAUAAAAAACCAGGGUGGCCACAAAAAUGCAUCUCAGAUCAUUAAUUAAUGAGGGAUUCAAAUAAGGAAAUACUUUAAAAUUAGUUAUAGUCACUUUAUCAACAAAAUUGGAGUUUCAGUGUACAAUGUACAUGUAUUUAAUGCUUACAAGUCAAGAGCUACAGUAGUGGCCACCCUGCUAGUACCCACACAAAAAACCUGCGUGUAAAAAUCUAGCUGUACUUUGCCUUGUCUAAAGCACCUCACCACUUAAAGAUAAAUAUGUACGCUGCGGAAAGUAAGCCAAUUUUGUCAAAUAAAAACUCCACAAUGCAUCGGUGCGAUUCCAUGAGAAAGUGGACCAAAAAAACCCACCCUAUUUUGGGGAGGCUAAAAUUAUCAUUUUGGCUCAUUGUUUUCUCCCGCAAAAUACAAGUGUUAUCAUGAGUCUUUGGUUUUCAGGCUCAGAGGAAGAUGAACAUUUUAUGCCAAGGCAAGAGUUUUUUUUUGUGAGAUUAUAAUUUGUUAUGUUUUAUCCUGUACCAAAGAUAGGUGGACAAACUGUAACACAAGUUACCAAAAUAUAUCUCCCUAGAGAUUUUAUGAUUGAUUUUUUUUUAAAUAAUUGUUAUGGCAGCCUAUGACUUACACCCUAAUGAUGUAAGAACACUGAAAAGAUUUUUCAAACAGUUAAAAGUAUGAGGAAACUUUCAAGUGCAAGGCACUUAAUUUUGUUUCCAUGUCCAUUUUGUGUAACGUGAAUUACCAAUAAAAAAAAAGUGAUUUCCAAAACAA
Patiria miniata (bat star) is the source of this 5451-nucleotide long non-coding RNA. RefSeq lists it as uncharacterized. Lineage: Eukaryota; Metazoa; Echinodermata; Asteroidea; Valvatida; Asterinidae. The transcript is spliced from 2 exons. The record is from RefSeq and is a predicted model, not a curated record.